This 278-nucleotide small RNA is filed under the name Octodon degus (degu). RNAcentral's name for it is "7SK RNA (ENSODEG00000024525.1)". It matches the Rfam family "7SK RNA", at positions 1 to 251 of the family's 331-position model. From Rfam's summary of the family: 7SK was discovered as an abundant small nuclear RNA in the mid-70s but a possible function has only recently been suggested. Two independent studies have found that 7SK RNA binds the CDK9/cyclin T complex (known as elongation factor P-TEFb). The record is from RNAcentral. Lineage: Eukaryota; Metazoa; Chordata; Mammalia; Rodentia; Octodontidae.
GGAUGUGAGGGCGAUCUGGCUGCGACAUCUGUCACCCCAUUGAUUGCCAGGGUUGAUUCGACUGAUCUGGCUGGCUAGGCGGGUGUCCCCUUCCUCCCUCAAUGAUCCAUGUUCGUCCCUCCCGAAGCUGCGUGCUCGGUCGAAGAGGACGACCACCCCUGAUAGAGGAGGACCGUUCCUUGGUCAAGGGUAUACGAGUAGCUGUGCUCCCCUGCUAGAACCUCCAAACAAGCUCUCAAAAAGGGCAACAUCCUAUACACCAGGCUUGAACUUUUUUU